RNAcentral lists this long non-coding RNA (11227 nucleotides) under Homo sapiens (human). RNAcentral's name for it is "HSALNT0336617". Lineage: Eukaryota; Metazoa; Chordata; Mammalia; Primates; Hominidae. The record is from RNAcentral.
GCCUUUGCAGCCUCCAUACUUAGCGAUGGCCUCCUGGACCCACUUUCUCUCUCAAACUGUCUUUUCUCAUUCCUUUGACUCUGCUGGACUUCGUCAUCCCCACGACCCGGUGUUGAGUCUGAUCACCCAACAUCAUCAGGAUAGAAGCUUCCCUCUCCUCCUCCAGACCUUGUGGUGUGCACGUGGGAGUCCAGGGACUAGAAUACUCAUUUUCAAAGCCUGACAUUGGACCCGGGAGACAGGGAAAAACCAUCCUCAGGAAGUCACAUGACAUGUGAAGAAAGCUGAUCCCAUCCAGAGAACUCAACCACCAUGGAGAAGACAGCUGAGUACUCCACCAUUACACAGAGCAACUCCCUGCCACUCUUAGGGUUGGUAAGCUAUGCCAGAGCUUACAUUGCUGAUUAACAUGAUGUUAGAAGCAAGUAGCAUCCCUUAGAAAUCAAUCAGUAAAGAUAAAAUCUUGAGAAAUUCCUCUGAUAAAAGACAAAGAGAUAUACAUUGGCUUGUAAAAUAGAAUUCAACUGUAAAAGUAGCAUACAAAAAAAAGAUACAGAUUAACAAAUUUUUUAAAAGGCAGAUAAAAAUUCACAAGUCAAGUGCAAAUGAAGGAAAUCUCAAAAUACAAUUAAAUGUGAAAGACAUCACCCUUCCAGGAGGUGAAACUUAAUGAUUACUACCCUAAAUCUUUAAAUAUGGACUGUUCUUAAUGAUUUGCUCCCAAAGAAUCGAAUAUGAAGGAAGAUUUAAAAAAGGAGGGAGAGGAAGGGGAAGAAAUUUUAUAGUGGAGAAAACUAUCCAACACUAUCUUGCCCAGGUAUGAAGGAUAACAUCACCAAUAAUAAGUCAUGUCUCCAGUCUAACCAUGAGAAGAACGUCAGACAAACCUUUCUCUCUACUAAAUAACUGAUCACUGUUCCUUAAAACUUUCAAGACCACACACACACACACACACACACACACACACACACACACACACAUAUAUAUGUAGAGAGAGAGAGAGAGAGAGAUCCCAGAAAAUGAAACAAAAAGAACCUUGAAAAAAGAUUAGACGAAUUGCUCACUAGAGUAACCAGUUUAGAGAAGAACAUAAAUGAACUGAUGGAGCUGAAAAACACAGCAUGAGAACUUCGUGAAGCAUACACAAGUAUCAACAGCUGAAUCAAUUAAGCAGAAGAAAGGAUAUCAGAGACUGAAGAUCAACUCAAAGAAAUACAGUGAGAAGACAAGGUUAUAGAAAAAAAGAGUGAAAAGAAACAAUGACUCUGAGAAACAUAGGACUAUGUGAAAAGACAAAAUCUAUGUUUGAUUGGUGUACCUGAAAGUAAUGGAGAGAAUGGAGCCAAGUUGGAAAAUACUCUUCAGGAUAAUAUCCAGGAGAACUUCCCCAACCUAGCAAGGCAAGCCAACAUUCAAAUUCAGAAAAUACGGAGAACACCACAAAGAUACUCCUUGAGAAGAGCAACCCCAAGACACAUAAUCAUCAGAUUUACCAAGGUUGAAAUGAAGAAAAAAAUGUUAAGGGCAGCCAGAGAGAAAGGUCAAGUUACCCACAAAGGGAAGCCCAUCAGACUAAUAGCAGAUCUCUCAGCAGAAACCCUACAAGCCAGAAGAGAGAGGGGGCCAAUAUUCAACAUUCUUAAAGAAAAACUUUUUGGACCAGUCACAGUGGCUCAUGCCUGUAAUCCCAGCACUUUGGGAGGCUGAGGUGGGCAGAUCAUGAGGUCAGGAGUUUGAGACCAGCCUAACCAACAUGGUGAAACCCUGUCUCUACUAAAAAUACAAAAAUUAGCCGGGCAUGGUGGCGCACACCUGUAAUCCCAGCUACUCAGGAGGCUGAGGCAGAAGAAUCGCUUGAACCCAGGAGGCGGAUUUUGCGGUUAGCUGAGAUCAUGCCACUGCACUCCAGCCUGGGCCACAGAGUGAGACUCCAUCUCAAGAAAGAAAAAAAAAAAAAAAGAAUUUUCAAACCAGAAUUUCAUAUUCAGCCAAACUAAGCUUCAAAAGCAAAGGAGAAAUAAAAUCCUUUAGAGUAAAGGAAAUGCUGAGAGAUUUUGUCACCACCAGGCCUGCCCUACAUGAGCUCCUGAAGGAAGCACUAAACAUGGAAAGGAACAACCGGUACCAGCCACUGCAAGAACAUACCAACUUGUAAAGACCAUCAAUACUAUGAAGAAACUGUAACAACUAAUGGGCAAAAUAACCAGCUAGCAUCUUAAUGGCAGAAUCAAAUUCACAUACAACAAUAUUAACCUUAAAUGUAAAUGGGCUAAAUGCCCCAAUUAAAAGACACAGACUGGCAAAUUGGACAAAGAGUCAAGACCCAUUGGUGUGCUGUAUUCAGGACACCUAUCUGACAUGCAAAGACACACAUAGGCUCAAAAUAAAGGGAUGGAGAAAUAUUUACCAUGCAAAUGGAAAGCAAAAAAAGCAUGGAUUGCAAUCCUAGUCUCUGAUAAAACAGACUUUAAUUCAACAAAGCUAAAAAGAAACAAAGAAGGUCAUUACAUAAUGGUAAAGGGAUCAAUGCAACAAGAAGAGCUAUCCUAAGUAUAUAUGCACCCAAUACAGGAGCACCCAGAUUUCUAAAGCAAGUUCUUAGAGACCUACAAAGAGACUUAGACUCCCACAUAAUAAUAGUAGGAGACUUUAACACCCUACUAUCAGUAUUAGACAGAUCAAUGAGACAGAAAAUUAACAAGGAUAUCCAGGACUUGAACUCAGCUCUGGACCAAGCUGACCUAAUAGACAUCUACAGAACUCUCCACUCCAAAUCAACAGAAUAUACAUUCUUCUCAGCAUCACAUAAUAUUUAUUCUAAAAUUGACAACGUAAUUGAAAAUAAAACACUACUCAGAAAAUGCAAAAGAACGGAAAUCAUAACAGUCUUUCAGACCACAGUGCAAUCAAAUUAGAUCUCAGGAUUAAAAAACUCACUCAAAACUGCACAACUACAUGGAAACUAAACCACCUGCUCCUCAAUAACUACUGGAUAAAUAAUGAAAUGAAGGCAGAAAUAAAGAUGUUCUUUGAAACCAAUGAGAACAAAGACACAAUGUGCCAGAAUCUCUGGGACACAUUUAAAGCAGUGUGUAGAGAGAAAUUUAUAGCACUAAAUGCCCACAAGAGAAGGCAGAAAAGAUCUAAAAUCGACACCCUAACAUCACAAUAAAAAGAACUAGAGAAGAAAGCACAAACAAAAUCAAAAGCUAGCAGAAGACAAGAAAUACCUAAGAUCAGAGCAGAACUGAAGGAGAUAGAGACAUGAAAGACCCUUCCAAAAAUCAAUGAAUCCAGGAGCUGGUUUUUUGAAAAGAUCAACAAAAUAGAUAGACCACUAGCCAGACCAAUAAAGAAAACAAGAGAGAAUAAUCAAAUAGAUGCAAUUAAAAAUGAUAAAGGGGAUAUCACCACCAAUCCCACAGAAAUACAAACUAUCAUCAGAGAAUACUAUAAACACCUCUAUGCAAAUAAGCUAGAAAAUCUAGAAAAAAAUGGAUAAAUUACUGGACUCAUAUACCCUCCCAAAACUAAACCGGGAAGAAGAAGAAUCCCUGAGAAGGCCAAAAACAAGUUCUGAAAUAGAGGCAGCAAUUAAUAGCUACCAACCAAAUAUAGUCCAGGACCAGACAGAGUCACAGCCGAAUUCUACUGGAGAUACAAAGAGGAGAUGGUACCAUUCUUUCUAAAACUAUUCCAAACCACAGAAAAAGAAGGACUCCUCCCUAACUCAUUUUAUGAGGCCAGCAUCAUCCUGAUACCAAAACCUGGCAGAGACACAACAAAAAAGGAAAAUUUCAGGCCAAUAUCCCUGAUGAAAUCGAUGUGAAAAUCCUCAGUAAAAUACUGGUAAAGAUAAUCCAGCAACACAGCAAAAAGCUUAUCCACCACAAUCAAGUCAGCUUCAUCUCUGGGAUGCAAGGCUGGUUCAACAUAUGCAAAUCAAUAAACGUAAUCCAUCAGAUAAGCAGAACCAAUGACAAAAACCACACGAUUAUCUCAAUAGAUGCAGAAAAGGCCUUUGAUAAAAUUCAACUGCCCUUCAUGCUAAAAACUCUCAACAAACUAGGCAGUGAUGGAAUGUAUCCCAAAAUAAUAAGAGCUAUUUAUGACAAACCCACAGCCAGUAUCAUACCGAAUGGGCAAAAACUGGAUUCCCUUUGAAAACCGGCACAAGGAUGCCCCUUCUCACCACUCCUAUUCAACAUAGUGUUGGAAGUUCUGGCAAGGGCAAUCAGGCAAGAUAAAGAAAUAAAGAAUAUUCAAUUAGGAAAAGAGGAAGUCAAAUUGUCUCUGUUUGCAGAUGACAUGAUUGUAUAUUUAGAAAACCCCAAGGUCUCAGCCCAUAAUCUUCUCAAGCAGAUAAACAACUUGCAGCAAAGUCUCAGGAUACAAAAUCAAUGUGCAAACAAUCACAAGCAUUCCUAUACACCAAAAAUAGACAAACAGAGAGCCAAAUCAUGAGUGAACUCCCAUUCACAAUUGGUACAAAGAGAAUAAAACACCUAGGAAUACAACUUACAAGGGAUAUGAAGGACCUAUCCAAGGAGAACUACAAACCACUGCUCACGGAAAGAAGAGAGGACACAAACAAAUGGAAAAACAUUCCAUGUUGAUGGAUAGGAAGAAUCAGUAUCAUGGAAAUGGCCAUACUGCCCAAAGUAAUUUAUAGAUUCAAUGCUAUCCCCAUCAAGCUACCAUUGACAUUCUUCACAGAAUUGGAAAAAACUACUUUACAUUUUAUAUGGAACCAAAAAAGAGCCUGCAUAAUCAAGACAAUCCUAAGCAAAAAACAAAGCUGCAGUCAUCACACUACCUGACUUCAAACUAUACUACAAUGCUACAGUAACCAAAACAGCAUGGUAUUGGUACCAAACAGAUAUACAGAUCAAUGGAACAGAAUAGAGGCCUCAGAAACAAUGUCACACAUCUACCAACAUCUGAUUUUUGACAAACCUGACCAAAACAAGCAAUAGGGAAAGGAUUCUGUAUUUAAUAAAUGGUGUUGGGAAAACUGGCUAGCCAUAUGCAGAAAGCUGAAACUGGAUCCUUUCCUUACAUCUUAUACAAAAAAUUAACUCAAGAUGGAUUAAAGAUGGAUUAAAGACUUAAAUGUAGACCAAAACCCAUAAAAACCCUACAAGAAAAAUUAGGCAAUACCAUUCAGGACAUAGGCAUGGGCAAAGACUUCAUUACUAAAACACCAAAAGCAAUGGCAACAGAAGCCAAAAUUGACAAAAGUAUAAUUUUAAAAAUUAAAAAAAAGAAUUUUAAAGUUAAUAAUGAUUAUGCUUUAAUGAAAUAGACACAAGAUCACAAUAAUGAAAAACACAUAAAAGAUGAUUCAAAUUUAGUUUAAAAUACACAUGAACUAAAAUUCAGGAGGAAAUUUUCAAAAUGUUAACAUUUUUAUCUCUGUGUGAUGUGAUUAUGGAUGACUUUUAUGUCCUUUUUUCUAUUUAGUUUCUUCCCCCACAGUAAGAAUAUUACUUAAAUUAACAGAAAGCCAAAAAAAAAAAAAAAAACCACAAUAAAAAUGAGCUUAAAAGAUGUGGUACUGAAAGAUUUUUCUUUGAACAGUUGCACAAGCAAAGACAGUACUUAGUAGUAAAGCCUCUAAGGAAAAAGUGGACAUCUCAGCACAGAUGGCAGGAUAAAAAUGUAAUAUGGGGAGCACAAAAAAUAUGCAGACUGAAUCAAAACAGAGACAAUUCCCUUAGGUAGGUGGGCUUUUAAAAAUUGGGCACAGAAACCAUUUAUCCAUACCGGAUCUUGCCCAGAAGCAUUGAAAGAAAAACAAUGGAAGACAAUGGUGGAGGUUUGGGAAGAAGAGAAUGAGAAGCCAAUGCCCUGCUGCCUGCUACCCUUUAUCCACACCUGCCUCUCUCCUCUGCCCCAGGGCCCCCAGCAGCAGGCUCUGCAGAUGCAUUAGGUCCAGGCAACACAAUUUGAAAAAUCAACAAAAUCAUCUUAGGUUAGAUCUACUAUCAAUCACUCUCUAGUAAAGAUGAGCUGGAAAUUAUCAGAAUCCACAGUAUAAUCUUUGUGAUUUACUACAUAAGAAAAUUUAAGAAAACUUAUGCUAUUCUCAUGACACUAAAGCUUGGUUUAUUAAUUCUCCACAAUUUUAUUUGUCCUGUCUGUUAAAACCUUAUUUAAAAAAUAUUAUUCAGGGCCAGGUGCGGUGGCACAUGCAUGCCUGUAAUCCCAGCACUUUGGGAGGCCAAGGUGGGCGGAUCGCCUGAAGUCAGGAGUUUGAGACCAGCCUGGCCAACAUGGUAAAACCCUGUCUCUACUAAAAAUACAAAAAUUAGCCAGGGGUGGUGUCAUGCACUUGUAAUCCCAACUACUCAGGAGGCUGAGGCAGGAGAAUCACUUAAACCUGGGAGACGGAGGUUGCAGUGAGCCAAGAUCGUGCCAUUGCACUCCAGCCUGGGUGACAGGAGCAAGACUUCAUCUCAAAAAAAAAAAAAAUAUUCAGCUGGCUGUGGUGGGGUGGCUCACACCUGUAUUCCCAACACUUUGAGAGGCCAAGGCAGAAGGAUUGCUUGAGUCCAGGAGCUCAAAAACAUCCUGGGCAACAUAGAGAGACCCCAUCUCUACAAAAAAUUAAAAAAUUAGCCAGACAUGGUGCUGUGCACCUGUGGUCCCUGCUACUCAGGAGACUGAGGUGGGAGGGAGGAUUGUUGGACUACAGGAAUUUGAGGCUGCAGUGGGCUAUAACCACACCACUGCAUUCUAGCCUGGGCAACAGUGAGACCCUGUCUCAAAAAAAUAAAUUUAAAAAUUUAUAUAUAUAUUAUUCUAGCAUUUAUAGCUACUUGUUACUUAUUAUUAUUAUUAGCAUUUAUAGGUACUUGGCCUAGAAGGAUGCUUUCUGAUCGUUAGAGUUACCCAGAGUAAGAAAAACAGAAAGUAUACAUGUGAGUGAAUCUGACAAAAGCUGUAGGACUGAGAUGUCGAGUCAGUUUUGGCUUAAGCACACUUGGCUGUACUUGACAUGAAAGGAAAAAGAGUUCUUCCUGUGUCUGGCCACAGUGAGCCUGGACAAGGUUGUAUAAUGAUGGCAGCAAUAAGAGCAGCAGCAUGAACCCAGUCACAUUGUAUCAAAGCUGAGCUUAAUCUAGCAACUGCAGCUGCAGUGAGCAGAGGCUUGGAGAGAACUCAAGCACUUGGUUAGAUCUUACUUACUGAAUCUAUUAAAACUUUACAGAGAUUUCAACAGCUGGCCUUUCCUCAUUAUGGUACCAAUUGCUGCAGUAGAAAUAAAUGUGGACAUCUCUCUCAAUUGUAUGGGAAACAAUUGCUGCCCAAUGUGUAACCAUUAGCCACACCCUGCGAUUAAGCUCUCAAAUUUUGGCUAGUUUGAAUUGAAGUGUAAAGUACACAUCAGAUUGCAAAGACUUAGUAUAGGAAAAACAUGUAAAAUAUCUCAAUAAUUUUCAUAUUGAUUACAUGUUGAAAUGACUGUUUUGAUAUUUUAAGCUAAAUAAAAUAUAUUGGAACAAUACACUCAGGAUGGAUAAAGUUGACCCGAAGGAACCAAAGGGCAAGAUGUCUGCCUAUGCCUUCUUUGUGCAGAUGGGCAGAGAAGAACAUAAAAAGAAAAAUCUAGAGUUCCCUAUUAAUUUUACAGAAUUUUCCAAGAAUUGCUCUGAGAGGUGGAAGACGAUGUCUGGGAAAGAGAAGUCUAAAUUUGACGAAAUGGCGAAGGCAGAUAAGUACACUAUGAUUGGGAGAUAAAGAAUUAAGAACCAGCUAAGGGAGGCAAGAAGAAGAACCCUAACGCCCCCAAAAGGCCACCAUCUGGAUUCUUCCUUUUCUAUUCAGAAUUCUGCCACAAGAUCAAAUCCACAAACCCUGACAUCUCUAUUGGAGACAUGUCAAAAAGCUGGGUGAGAUGUGGAAUAACUUAAAUGACAGUGAAAAGCAGCCUUACAUCACUAAGGUGGCACAGCUGAAGAAGUAUGAGAAGGAUGUUGCUGACUGUAAGUCUAAAGGAAAGUUUGAUGGCCCAAAGGGUUCCACUAAAGUUGCCUGGAAAAAGGUGGAAGAGGACAACAAAGAAAAUGAGGAGGAUGGAAAAUAAGGAGGAGGGAGAGGAGUAAAAAAUUUAAAAAACUGUUUGUCUCCUUGUGAAUACCUUAGAGCAACAGUCUCCAACCUUUUUGGAACCAGGGACCAGUUUUGUGGGACAGUUUUUCCAUGGAUGGGUUGGGAGAUGGUCUUUGGGAUGAUUCACGCACAGUACAUUUAUUGUGCACUUUAUUUCUAUUAUUAUUACAUUGUAAUAUAUAAUGAAAUAAUUAUAUGACUCACCAUAACGUAGAAUCAGUGGGAGCCCAGAGCUUGUUUUCCUUCAACUAGACAGUCUUUCUGGGGGUGAUGGGAGGCAGUGACAGAUCAUCAGGCAUUAGUUAGAUUCUCAUAAGAAGCAGGUAAACUAGAUCCCUCGUAUGCACAGUUUACAACAGGGUUUGCUCUCCUAUGAGAGCUGCUGCUGAUCUGACAGGAGGCGGAGCUCAGAUGGUAAUGUGAGCCAUGGGGAGUGGUUGUAAAUACAGAUGAAGCUUUGCUCACUUGCCACUCACCUCCUGCUGUGUGGCCUGGUUCCUAACAGGCCACUGACUGGUAUCUAUCUAUGGCCCAGGGGUUGGGGACACCUGCCUUGAAGUAGGGGAGAGCUGUAAUUGACACAUCUCUUAUUUGAGAAGUAUCUGUUGCCCUCAUUAGUUUUAAUUACAAAGUUUGAUUAUGAUCAUAUUGUUGUUUCUCAAACUAGAAACUCUUUACAUGAAGUGGUCAAGUGGGUCUAGAGCACCCUGAAACUAUAUCAAAGUUGUACAUAUUUCCAAAUAUUUUUAAAAUGAAAAGGCAACUUCAUGCUCUCCUCACUCUGUGUGCUUUGCUGUUAGUGUGAUAAGGCAUUUAAAGGUGCUUCUGGCAUUUUUUUUUUUUUAAUUUGUAAGGUAGUGUUAACUACAUGGUUAUUAGCUAGAAAUCCUGAGUUAUCAAUUGCAUAUAUCCAUAGUUUGUAAAACGAACAAAACAACCAAGACAAACUCUUGAUGCUCUUUGCUUGAUGUUGAGGCUGUGGUAGAAGAUGCCUCUGGGAGUGGCCGUAGCUCAGGCUGUGCACUGUGAGGCUGGGCCUGUUGACUAUGCACUGGGCAUCCAUUUAGCUUCAGGUUGUCUUGUUUCUGUAUCUAACCACAUAGCAUUCUGCUACCAUUCCUAGCUGUGAACAAAAGGUGGUCAGCUGGCUUGAAAAGUAUUUACUUUUUGUUUUUGCUUUUUUUUCAGUUAAGUGUGGUAGUUUUUAAACCAUUUGUUUUUAAAGAAAGUGUAGAACAUUUCAUUGUCAACAAAGCGAAGAGCCACUGCAUCAAUGAAAGUUCAAGAACCUUCUGUACUUAAACAUGAUCUCCAACACUCUGUUUUUUUGUAUGUUUAGAAUGCUGAAAUAUUUUUAAAAUUAAAUAAACAGCAUUACAUUUUAAUAAUACAUUACUAAAACUAUUUUCAACAUUUCUCUUACCUUUUUUUAAAUGUGGAUACUAGAAAAUUUUAAAUUACACAUGUGGCUUAUAUUUAAGAAACUGGCAUUAAGUUUCUACUGGACAGCACUGCUACAGAGCAAACAGAACUGGGACUGCUGUUGUUAGGCCCUCAGGUCUUAUUUGGGAUUUUUGCGGAGGGAGGAUUCCUUGUUUUACGAAUGGAGAGAACACAGCCCCAUCCUUUUGAGUUCUUGACAUUUCAACUGGGGUUUAUGUUUCUUUGUGAAAGCAGGAAAUACCAGUUACAUUCCAUAAUAAAUGAUGGAGAUGUGGACUAACCCAAAAAUGAACACAGAGUGAGCCUUUUGUUGGCUUGUGCAAUGGUUAGAAACUGCAUUGAGUCUUUUGAUCAAACCAAUUCUGUUUUCUUGCCCAUAUGAAAAGGAGAAAAUUAUUUAAACAGAUUUCAAAAAAGGAAUGUGGAUAUUGACCAUCAAAAUGAGCCUAGGAAUGCACCAUAUCAUUGACAGCUAGUCUGAACUUUUAUCUAGGGAUAUGUCCUCUUUUAUUUAGGUCUAAACUUCUAUGCAGAAUACUUUUCUCUGAAAUUGAAGAUUAAUCUUCUGAAGCCUAUGAAUUCUAACAUAGCAUUAAAUUACAUAUUUCUUCAAGAGUGUCUUCAUUCAUCAUUUACAUAUAUUUUGAGAGUCUGAGUAACAUGACAGUAGAUUCUAAGAUGGAGUUUACAUUAUACAGUCCCAUACUUCAAGGGCCUUAGCAUUUUCAUUUGUUUAUUCAACAGAUAUUUAUUGAGCACUUACUAUGUGCCAGGCAGUCUACCAGGCAUUAGGGGUGCAAUAGGAAUCAAAAAUAGAAUAAGAUCACUGAUCUACAAAUUACAGCCUACUGUGGGAGGUAGACAUUUAUCAAAUAAUCACAUGUGAGAGAUCUCAGAAGCAGGGAGCAGGGAGAAUUCAAAGCUCAAGUGGAAGGAUGAAUUGUAGACAGGAGGAAGUACGGCUCCUCCGAAUGUAACAGGAGAAGUGAUUCCCCGAAUCCAGUUGGCUGCAAAACAAGUUAAUGUGUUUGAUAUAAAGUGUGUGAGAAGAGAGCAAAACUAGCUGGAAUGCUUAGUAUAUUAUUUUAUAACUCAUCAUCUAGGCAUGGCUAGUUACUCAAGGUAAGGUUUAAUUUAAGAUAAUGUCCGGGAUUUAGAAAUAGACUCAUCUGUUAGUAAAUUGCAGCUUUGGGGUGGCAGGACACAUCAAUAACAGUAGAAGGAGAUACUUGGCAGUAGAGACAGGCUUGUCAUCACCAUCUAGGAAAUCUAUAAUGUACAAAGACUGGGCUUCUGUACUGGCAGAAACCCUUCAGCAGGUCUAAGCAGCAAGGCAGGAUAACAUUGCAAAAACUCAAAACAUAGGUCAAGAUAGAAUUCUAGUAUCUUGAAUUGAGCAUACAGAAUGUGAGGACAUGGGGAGUUGGAGGACAGAGAUAAUGACACUCAAGAUAAAAACUCAGGUUUAGGAGUAUUCUUAUCAGAAAUAUUCAGGAAAAAGCCUUUAUUUGGAGAACACUGUGGCAGUCCAGUGGCCAGGACUGGCCAUAACCUGGGGUAGAUUAGCAAGUGUAAUCAGUGCUGCAAUACCAUGGGCAGGAUUAGCCUGUUAGGGAGCAAGGCUUACUCCCAAGUUCCCCAAGGAUGUGGAACUUUAAAUAGGUUUUGA